GGCACUAUAGCCAAGUGGUUACGGCGGAAGAUUUGAAUUGGUUGUCUGAUCGGGUCAUCCGAUUAGUCAUAAUCUGAUCAUAUCUUCUCCUCUUUGAGGGCGCAGGUUCGAACCCUGCUGGUGUCG
Molecule: transfer RNA, 126 nt
Organism: Cylindrobasidium torrendii FP15055 ss-10
Lineage: Eukaryota; Fungi; Basidiomycota; Agaricomycetes; Agaricales; Physalacriaceae
Rfam family: tRNA
About the family: Transfer RNA (tRNA) molecules are approximately 80 nucleotides in length.
Source: Rfam